CGGGCUGUAGCGCAGUUUGGUAGCGCGCUUCGUUCGGGACGAAGAGGCCGCGGGUUCAAAUCCCACCAGCCCGAC
This 75-nucleotide transfer RNA is filed under the name Chlamydia trachomatis. RNAcentral describes it as "tRNA-Pro(cgg)". It matches the Rfam family "tRNA". Rfam says of the family: Transfer RNA (tRNA) molecules are approximately 80 nucleotides in length. Their secondary structure includes four short double-helical elements and three loops (D, anti-codon, and T loops). Lineage: Bacteria; Pseudomonadati; Chlamydiota; Chlamydiia; Chlamydiales; Chlamydiaceae. RNAcentral also lists the same sequence under 1 other name. The record is from RNAcentral.